UACAGAGGGUGCGAGCGUUAAUCGGAAUUACUGGGCGUAAAGCGCGCGUAGGCGGCUUUGUAAGCCAGAUGUGAAAGCCCCGGGCUCAACCUGGGAAUGGCAUUUGGGACUGCAAGGCUGGAGUAUGGCAGAGGAGACUAGAAUUCCUGGUGUAGCAGUGAAAUGCGUAGAUAUCAGGAGGAAUACCGAUGGCGAAGGCAGGUCUCUGGGCCAAUACUGACGCUCAUGCACGAAAGCGUGGGGAGCAAACAGG
RNAcentral lists this ribosomal RNA (253 nucleotides) under uncultured bacterium. RNAcentral's name for it is "partial 16S ribosomal RNA". It matches the Rfam family "Bacterial small subunit ribosomal RNA", at positions 524 to 776 of the family's 1533-position model. The record is from RNAcentral.